CUGGGAUUAGAUACCCCACUAUGCUUAACCGUAAACAUCGUUAUAAAUAGAACUACCUUAAAAUACCGCCCGAAUACUACAAGCGCUAGCUUAAAAUCCAAAGGACUUGGCGGUGCUCCAAACCCACCUAGAGGAGCCUGUUCUAUAACCGAUAAUCCGCGUUUAACCUCACCACUUCUUGCCCUUCCCGCCUAUAUACCGCCGUCGUCAGCUCACCCUAUGAAGGCACAACAGUAAGCAUAAUAACCUUUACCCUCAAUACGUCAGGUCGAGGUGUAGCGAAUGAAGUGGGAAGAAAUGGGCUACAUUAUCUUUCUAGAAUACACGGACAGAAGCAUGAAAAACUUCUUAAAGGUGGAUUUAGCAGUAAGUAAAUUUUAGAACAUUAUACUGAAACCGGCUCUGGAGCGCGCACACACCGCCCGUCACUCU
This 432-nucleotide ribosomal RNA is filed under the name Hypanus americanus (southern stingray). RNAcentral describes it as "partial small subunit ribosomal RNA". It matches the Rfam family "Bacterial small subunit ribosomal RNA", at positions 772 to 1403 of the family's 1533-position model. The record is from RNAcentral. Lineage: Eukaryota; Metazoa; Chordata; Chondrichthyes; Myliobatiformes; Dasyatidae.